UACGUAGGGUGCGAGCGUUAAUCGGAAUUACUGGGCGUAAAGCGUGCGCAGGCGGCUUUGCAAGACAGAUGUGAAAUCCCCAGGCUCAACCUGGGAACUGCGUCCGAUACUGGAUGGCUUGAAUCCGGGAGAGGGAUGCAGAAUUCCAGGUGUAGCGGUGAAAUGCGUAGAUAUCUGGAGGAAUACCGGUGGCGGAGGCGGCAUCCUGGACCAGCAUUGACGCUGAGGAACGAAAGCCAGGGGAGCAAACGGG
RNAcentral lists this ribosomal RNA (253 nucleotides) under uncultured bacterium. RNAcentral's name for it is "partial 16S ribosomal RNA". It matches the Rfam family "Bacterial small subunit ribosomal RNA", at positions 524 to 776 of the family's 1533-position model. The record is from RNAcentral.